This 322-nucleotide ribosomal RNA is filed under the name uncultured Escherichia sp. RNAcentral describes it as "bacterial SSU rRNA". It matches the Rfam family "Bacterial small subunit ribosomal RNA", at positions 285 to 599 of the family's 1533-position model. Lineage: Bacteria; Pseudomonadati; Pseudomonadota; Gammaproteobacteria; Enterobacterales; Enterobacteriaceae. The record is from RNAcentral.
AGCUGGUCUGAGAGGAUGACCAGCCACACUGGAACUGAGACACGGUCCAGACUCCUACGGGAGGCAGCAGUGGGGAAUAUUGCACAAUGGGCGCAAGCCUGAUGCAGCCAUGCCGCGUGUAUGAAGAAGGCCUUCGGGUUGUAAAGUACUUUCAGCGGGGAGGAAGGGAGUAAAGUUAAUACCUUUGCUCAUUGACGUUACCCGCAGAAGAAGCACCGGCUAACUCCGUGCCAGCAGCCGCGGUAAUACGGAGGGUGCAAGCGUUAAUCGGAAUUACUGGGCGUAAAGCGCACGCAGGCGGUUUGUUAAGUCAGAUGUGAAA